CUUUCUCAAAGAAAAUAUAAUUUCAGUGUAUUUAACACAGGUUCUAUCGUAUUAUCCCUUGUUCAGAAAUAUUUUUAGAUGGCAUCCAAAACUCCAUAACCUUAUCCUGUCUCAAGAUCCAUUUCAUACCUCUCUUUUAUACCUCAAAAUAAUAAAAGCACAAUUUUAGCUCAUACUAAAUGUAAUAUUCACCCCUUACCCUUGGCAUUCUGGUAGCGUUAUUUUGUUGUGCAUCUAUGUUUUAUAACACUCUCUGUCGUCUUUGUGGAUAUAUCUUCUAUUUUGCUAAUUUCCAUAGCACCUAGUAUAGAGUACUAUACAUUAGUAGUCUCUUAAGAAGUGUUAUUUUCUUUCCUUUACACCAGUUAUUCCCAACAGAAGAGGACUUAGGAGAAAAUGAAUGAUUUUGCUUCCCAUGAAAUAUUUGGCAUCUGUCUGGAAACAGUUUUGGUUAUCACAAUGUGUGGGGGAGGUGAUAUUGCUACUGGCAUCUAGUGGAUAAGAAGCCAGAGAUGCUGCUGAAUAUCCUACUGAGUACAGGACAACCACAACCACCCUGAUACCACCCAACAAAGAAUUACCCAGCCCGAAAUGUCAAUAGUGCUGAGGUUAAGAAAUCCCAGGCCUAAGAGAGAUGACUCUUCCUUUGCUUAGGAUGUCCCUUCUAACUGGCCAUAUAGGUGCUCAUCCUUUAAGGGCCCCUCAAGUGCUAUUCCCUCAUUCAUUUUUUUCUCUUUAAUUUUUGAUAUCCUGUUAUGGUGAGACAAUAGAUAGGUCAGAGAUGAAUAGAAUCUACUUUUCUGCCUUCACGAAUUAUGUAAGUUAGUAGGGAAGCUGACUUGUAUAUAAACUGAAAUGUGUGAUAUUCCAUGCUUAUCUUGGACUGAUGAGAAAUUUUUCCAAGGCUUCAAACCCUAUCUGAUCUCAUUUAAACCCUCCUAUCUGCUGUGCUAUACUCAUAUACUAUUUACAUUUUAAGAAUUAUAUUAUUUUUUGUAGUUUUGAGUUCCUUUAUAAGCACCAUGAGUAUUAAUACUGUAUUUUCACAUUUAAAUUUUCUUCAGAUGAUACUUUAUACCUAUGUUUGAAACUAGAUUGACAAAGAGGAAGAAGACAUUUUGAGAUUAGAACACCUGUACAAAUUAUCAUUCCAAAAUGGGACAUUUCUGUGAGUGGAAAGGGUUAACCUGAUAAAAUAUUGGCCUAAUUUACAUGAACUGGUCAUACCAUUUAUUAUUGGGAAGACAAAUCAGCUAUUAGAAAAAGUAGACUAUCUGAACCCUAGAAUUAGGCAUAUUUACCCACCCACUUAUGGCAUAGUGGAAAAACCACAGUCUUUUCUGGGGAGAUCAGGCCCUGUACUGUAUAUGACAAAGAGAACAGAGGACAUCAAUCUUUGCCAGCAGGCCAGCUCCCAAGAAAAAGAAGGAGGGGGGCUGGGAUUGUAGCUCAGUGGUAGAGCACUUGCCUAAUAUGUGUGAGGCCCUGGGUUCGAUCCCCAACACCACAUAAAAUAAAUAAACAAAAUAAAGCAUUGUGUCCAUCUACAACUAAAACAUAUAUAUAUAUAUAAAACAGGCUUCUUUAAAAAAAAGAAAGAAAAAGAAAAAGAGGGAGGAGUUCAGCCAAGCAUACCUGCUUAUUUAUCCCAAUUUUACCAACCACAUACUCUACCUUAGAGAAUAAUAGGUGGUAGAGCAGAGUGAUACCAGGAAUGUGUGUUAGCAGAGCUUUUUAGACAUGGAAGGAAAACUGGAAAUGGGACAGACGCGUUGCUCUCCUCUUGUCAAUACUAUAUACUGUGUUAGUUAGCUUUUCAUUGCUGUUACCAGAAUUCCUGACGAGAACAACUUAGAGGAGAAAAGAUUUAUUUUGGCUCAUAGUUUCAUAGGUCUCAGUCCAUGGUCAGCUGACUCCAUUGCUCUGGGCCUGCCAUGAGGCAGAACACAAGGCAGGAGACUGUGGUAGAGAAAGACUGCCCAACUCAAGGC
This 1991-nucleotide long non-coding RNA is filed under the name Marmota monax (woodchuck). The stretch from base 1439 to 1507 matches the Rfam family "tRNA". The record is from RNAcentral. Lineage: Eukaryota; Metazoa; Chordata; Mammalia; Rodentia; Sciuridae.